CUCCUGUGAGGAGCACUUCUCCUCAGCUACUGUUUUCCUUGGGUGAUAGUAACUGCUUCCCCCACUUAUUCCUUCAGACCUAGGGGUAGUGGAGGCUUCCUCCUGUUGUUUGUGUCCCAGGCACUUCCUCAUUCUUGGCUACCCACAUUUCUAUAAAUUGUCCUUGAUGAAAUUCUCUUCAAUCACCCCUACUGAGCAUGCAGUUCAUUUCCUCUUGGGAUGGCGACAGAUGCGUGAGCACACGGAGGACUGUGACAAGUCAGCGAGAGCCCGGGGGGUGAUCCAGAUGGUCAAGUGGACAUCAUGAAAGGCUUGAAUUAUUGCGAUGGAACCCCACCCUAAACUUUGAUCACUGAGACAAGAGACCCCAGCAGCAAAUCUACUGAGUGGAUUACACGGGAUGGGAGCUGAGGGAGGCUGGAAAAGGUUCGCUGGGGCUGAUUUCCUAUGAGAGGAGACAAUGCAGAGGAAAGGCCUCCAAAGGGCCUUUCAAAGAAUCAUCAGGUGUCUCCCAGGAGGUGCUCCCUUUGGACGGUUGCCAUGGAGGAGGGGAGAGAUCACAAGGGCAGCCGGUAAGUAAAAGCAUUUCUGCUCCUUUUGCAAAUUCUGUCUCUCUGGCUUCGACAUAGAAAGGGGCCCUCAAAAUGGCAGUUGUAGAGGAAAAGCAUCCGGAGGAGGCCCCCCCACCCCUUGCGCCUCUCCCUGCCUCAGGCCUGUCGCUGAACCCGCUGGAGGAGGCGGACGUUUCCAUUGGUUGAGAGACUGAAGUGGGUGGGGCUGGAGUACACCCUUCACCACCGGAAAAGGUCAGAAAGCUGGCAUCUGCCGAGGGGCCACGAAGUCUUGAGAAGAGGAGAGUUGAUGGAGCAUGUUUUAAAGCCGUGAUUGGAGAAAAAUAAGCUACUGAGUUCACAGCGUUCAACAAACUGCUGCCGAGCGGCAAGGGCUCAGCAAACAGGCGGUGCUCCACAAACGGAAGAUACUGUUUUUCCCAGUCACCUGAAGAGAAUAAACACUCAGGAAAUGACGAGAUAUGUUUUGAUAUUGACGAGCAAAUAAGAUAUUCAAUUGGUAUUUUGGAUUUAGAAGAAAAGUGUAAUGUGUUCAUUAUGGCUUCGAGUUCCCAUUUUCACCGUAAGGACUUCUCGGGAUACUUCCCGAGCUUUUCGUGAGGCAUUUGCCUUCUGUCACUUUGUAGAAUCC
This 1203-nucleotide long non-coding RNA is filed under the name Ursus thibetanus thibetanus. RNAcentral describes it as "lncRNA (ENSUTTG00000015147.1)". The record is from RNAcentral. Lineage: Eukaryota; Metazoa; Chordata; Mammalia; Carnivora; Ursidae.